UGGAUGGAAGUUCUACCUCAUAUCCUCCAGCUCUGGGAAGACCCAGAGAGUCAAAGAAGGCUGCUGACAAAGUCAGCGUUAGCACAAAAGCUGAGCCCACGGAACCCCAUGGAUCUUUCUUUCCCCCCAGGGAGCUGCCCUGGGCUGGGCAGGUGUGUGGGCAUCCUGGGAGGAGGCCGGCAUUCUACACUAGAGAAUUAAAGGAGAGAACAAACCAAACAACCAGGUUUGGGCACGUCCUGUUUGUGGUGUCAAUCUCCGAGCCUGAGUUCGCAUGGCCCAGGCUCCUGCCAAGUUUCUGGAGGACUUGAGCGUGACCUCCCUUGACCUGGGCUUGUUUGGAUGGACUCUGUGGUUGAAGUCCAAGGAACAUCACGAUCAACUGGAGCCUCCUGGAGUCACCCGUCACUGUGUCCAGGGGACGUAGGCAGGUCAGCCUGAGCUCUAGGGCCCAGGCAGCUGUUGGGAGGCCUGACUGAGAUCCCCACUGGCUGCCAGCUGGGUGUUGUGCCUGUGGCAACCAAGAAGUCCUUCCCUGGCCUGAAGUCUUGCUGCCUAACUAGAAACCGCGUUCCUGUUCCGCAUUCUGCAAACAGAAAUCGCCCUGCUCCAAUGCUUCCAGACGGACCUGUGGCUGUGGCCCACUCCUCACCCUGUGUUGGAUGUUUUCUUUCUUUCUGCCCCUGUUCCCACAGGAGGCACCAGGCACAUCACAGCAAAGGGACACUGAGGGACACAUUUCAGAUCUGCAGCCAGGGCUCCUCCAGGUUCUCCUGUCAAUGCUGAUGACAGAUGAGAGAAUUCAGCGUCGUGAUCCUGGGAGACAUAACCGCCCCCCCGCCUCCGAGAAUCACUGAGUUUGGAGGGCCCUUCAGCAUGUUUUUAGGGGAGUCCUCCCAAUUUCAGGGCAGCAAACACCAAUGAGAUGAGACCCCUGUUUCCUGUUUGCCCCGGGACAGAGGACAUGUAGAAGAAGGACAUGUGCCCUGGGACAUUUGUGCUGCUGGGCAUUUGGGCCACUAGGGCAGGGUUGGUGGAACACAAAGCCAGGCAUCCAGGUGACAAUAGAGCAGACCUGGUUGGAUGCAGAGGGACACAAAGGACUUAGACUCCAUUCACCAAGGAGCAUGAAGGACUUAACACAGUAAUAACAAGCAGUACGCAGCCAUGAGAAAAUGAGAGGUAAAAAUAAAAUAAUAAAUGUGAAUGGA
RNAcentral lists this long non-coding RNA (1211 nucleotides) under Marmota monax (woodchuck). Lineage: Eukaryota; Metazoa; Chordata; Mammalia; Rodentia; Sciuridae. The record is from RNAcentral.